GCAGCAUCACGUGUGUUGUCAUUCCCAAAAAAUCCAAAAAUAGGCAAAGAGGUGGAGCUAAGAGGGAGACUGUGAAGAUGGGGCUGGAUGAUUGACAUCCAUCAAACUCCAAGCUGCCUGUAGCUAAGAGCUAACUGAGCAAACCUGGAGCUAACGGUAGCUGGUUAGCUGUUUAUA
Long non-coding RNA from Melanotaenia boesemani (Boeseman's rainbowfish), 177 nucleotides. RefSeq lists it as uncharacterized. The transcript has 3 exons. The record is from RefSeq and is a predicted model, not a curated record. NCBI's taxonomy places the organism in Eukaryota, Metazoa, Chordata, Actinopteri, Atheriniformes, Melanotaeniidae.